GGCGCAGGAAAUUUGAGAGGAGCUGUCCUUAGUACGAGAGGACCGGGAUGGACGCACCGCUGGUGUACCAGUUGUUCUGCCAAGGGCAUCGCUGGGUAGCUAUGUGCGGACGGGAUAAGUGCUGAAAGCAUCUAAGCAUGAAGCCCCCCUCAAGAUGAGAUUUCCCAUUCCGCAAGGAAGUAAGAUCCCUGAAAGAUGAUCAGGUUGAUAGGUCUGAGGUGGAAGCGUGGUGACACGUGGAGCUGACAGAUACUAAUAGAUCGAGGACUUAACCUA
RNAcentral lists this ribosomal RNA (276 nucleotides) under Bacillus altitudinis. Its description in RNAcentral is "partial 23S ribosomal RNA". It matches the Rfam family "Bacterial large subunit ribosomal RNA", at positions 2650 to 2925 of the family's 2925-position model. The record is from RNAcentral. Lineage: Bacteria; Bacillati; Bacillota; Bacilli; Caryophanales; Bacillaceae.